UUCACUUUCCCAUAGGAUGCAGCCAACAUCAGCAUGAAGGAGCUGCUGCCUCACACCGGAGCACUCUGGAUCUGUCUCCCAGAAAUUCAGUGUCUGCCCAGCAACAUCCUGCCCUGAAGGAGAGAAGUUCCCAGCCCCUGCCAAGGAUCAACAUCAAGAACAUGUCCCACAGAGACAAGGCCACACAGCAGCUUCCAUGUGUCAGCAUUCCCACCAAGUCCUUCCAACAGGCAGCCCAAAUUCAGCUCCUCACACACAUAGAGUUACGGUAAGCUAAUAUUCAAACAAAAACAGUGGAAAAAUCACCUUUAUGUACCUCUCCUUGGCACUAUCU
RNAcentral lists this long non-coding RNA (334 nucleotides) under Parus major (Great Tit). Its description in RNAcentral is "lncRNA (ENSPMJG00000001594.1)". The record is from RNAcentral. Lineage: Eukaryota; Metazoa; Chordata; Aves; Passeriformes; Paridae.